RNAcentral lists this transfer RNA (69 nucleotides) under Opisthocomus hoazin. It matches the Rfam family "tRNA". From Rfam's summary of the family: Transfer RNA (tRNA) molecules are approximately 80 nucleotides in length. Their secondary structure includes four short double-helical elements and three loops (D, anti-codon, and T loops). Lineage: Eukaryota; Metazoa; Chordata; Aves; Opisthocomiformes; Opisthocomidae. The record is from Rfam by way of RNAcentral.
AAGGCCCUAGCUUAGUUAAAGCGUCUGGGUUGCAUUCAGGAGAUGUAGGUUAGUAUCCUGUGGGUCUUA